CCUACGGGUGGCAGCAGUGGGGAAUAUUGCUCAAUGGGGGAAACCCUGAAGCAGCGACGCCGCGUGGGGGAAGAAGGUCCUCGGCUUGUAAACCCCUUUUGUUAGAGAAGAUAAUGACGGUACCUAACGCAUAAGCCCCGGCUAACUCCGUGCCAGCAGCCGCGGUAAUACGGAGGGGGCCAGCGUUAUUCGGAUUCACUGGGGGUAAAGCGGGCGUAGGCGGGGUGGCAAGUCAGGUGUGAAAGCCUAUGGCCUAACCAUAGAACUGCACUUGAAACUGGGAUGCUAGAGUACAGGAGAGGUAGGCGGAAUUAGUGGUGUAGCGGUGAAAUGCGUAGAUAUCAAGAGGAAUACCGAUGGCGAAGGCGGCCUGCUAGACUGUAACUGACGCUGAGGCGCGAAAGCGUGGGGAGCAAACAGGAUUAGAUACCCCAGUAGUC
Molecule: ribosomal RNA, 440 nt
Filed under: uncultured bacterium
Lineage: Bacteria
Description: partial 16S ribosomal RNA
Rfam family: Bacterial small subunit ribosomal RNA
Source: RNAcentral